UGGCCGUGAUGACACAAAGGCCGGACUUACGGCUGCUACUGCUCUUCCCUUGUGUGGUAGUAGUAUGAUGUUUGUUGUGAUAAGGUGUUUGUGCUGAGCCAC
Gossypium raimondii (Peruvian cotton) is the source of this 102-nucleotide small nucleolar RNA. It matches the Rfam family "Small nucleolar RNA snoR113". Lineage: Eukaryota; Viridiplantae; Streptophyta; Magnoliopsida; Malvales; Malvaceae. The record is from Rfam.